UGGGGAAUACUGCACAAUGGGCGAAAGCCUGAUGCAGCGACGCCGCGUGAGGGAUGACGGCCUUCGGGUUGUAAACCUCUUUCAGCAGGGAAGAAGCGAAAGUGACGGUACCUGCAGAAGAAGCGCCGGCUAACUACGUGCCAGCAGCCGCGGUAAUACGUAGGGCGCAAGCGUUGUCCGGAAUUAUUGGGCGUAAAGAGCUCGUAGGCGGUUAGUCGCGUCUGCUGUGAAAACUCGAGGCUCAACCUCGGGCUUGCAGUGGGUACGGGCUGACUAGAGUGCGGUAGGGGUGACUGGAAUUCCUGGUGUAGCGGUGGAAUGCGCAGAUAUCAGGAGGAACACCGAUGGCGAAGGCAGGUCACUGGGCCGCAACUGACGCUGAGGAGCGAAAGCAUGGGGAGCGAACAGGAUUAGAUAGCCCUGGUAGUCCAUGCCGUAAACGUUGGGCACUAGGUGUGGGGUCCAUUCCACGGAUUCCGUGCCGCAGCAAACGCAUUAAGUGCCCCGCCUGGGGAGUACGGCCGCAAGGCUAAAACUCAAAUGAAUUGACGGGGUCAUAGCUGUUUCCU
Molecule: ribosomal RNA, 569 nt
Filed under: uncultured bacterium
Lineage: Bacteria
Description: partial 16S ribosomal RNA
Rfam family: Bacterial small subunit ribosomal RNA
Source: RNAcentral